This 252-nucleotide ribosomal RNA is filed under the name uncultured prokaryote. RNAcentral describes it as "partial 16S ribosomal RNA". It matches the Rfam family "Archaeal small subunit ribosomal RNA", at positions 474 to 726 of the family's 1478-position model. The record is from RNAcentral.
UACCAGCACCCCGAGUGGUCGGGACGAUUAUUGGGCCUAAAGCAUCCGUAGCCGGUUUUACAAGUCCUCCGUUAAAUCCAACUGCUUAACAGAUGGGCUGCGGAGGAUACUAUAAGGCUAGGAGGCGGGAGAGGCAAGCGGUACUCAGUGGGUAGGGGUAAAAUCCUCUGAUCCAUUGAAGACCACCAGUGGCGAAGGCGGCUUGCCAGAACGCGCUCGACGGUGAGGGAUGAAAGCUGGGGGAGCAAACCG